AAAAAAAAAAAACCAGAAAACCUGAAAAUUAUUUCCAAAAAAUUGAAAAAAAGAAAAUGCAAUUAAGAGCUGACGAAUCACUGAAAAAGACAGGAACGCAGUAUUUUCGGCUUUUAGGCCUUUUUUAGCUUUCUCAGUUAGUAGUUUCGAUCUUUCUCAAACUCUCUCUCUCUCACUCACUAAACCCCCAAAACACACCAGAUUUCGCUUCUCAGAAUCUCUCUCUCUCUAAAAGAUUCUUGACUAUGGACGAGACUGAUGAUGUGGUCUCAGUGACUACUGUCUCAGAAUCUGGUGUGACUGUAGGCGAGCCUACGGUGGAUGAAACCCUAACCGAACCUUUGGGUCAUGAGGGAAAUAUUGAGGGGGCUUUGCAGGGGCAAGAAGUAGAUGAAGAUGAAGGGGAGAUAAUGGUGGAGGUGGUGGGUUCUGAUGUGUUUGUUGAUGGUGUCCGUGAUCAUGGGGACGAGGGCGCGGUGAAAGAGGGUUUGGAAAAAGAAUUGGGAUCUAUUGAUGAUAAGGGCGGUGGAAUUGUUGAUUUGGGGUCUGGGGAAGUGGGAGCUCCGGGUAUUCAAUUGCAGGAUGGUAGGAAUGAAAGUGGAUCUGAAGGUUCUCAGAAUGUUGCAGGGUCGUCAGGUGAACAGACCCGUGUUGAUGUUGUGAAGGAAGCUGCAGUGGUGGCGAAUGAGGAGGCAUCGGACAAAGGUAAGGAGUUGAUUGAUGGAAAGGGUGAUGGUGGUGGUGUUAUAAUUUAUUCCAAAGCUGGUGUUUUGGAUGGUCAGGCUCAGGCUUCUGAAAAUGAGUCUAGGGGAGGAGAUUCUUCAGUGAAUGCAGCAUCAUUGCAUGAUCAAACCCAAAUUGUUACUGCGACGGGCAUGCACGGAGAUAUGGAGUCUGUUGACGGUGUGGCUGGUGCACUUGAUGAUUUGACGCCAGUACAAAAUUCUGGAAUCGAGUCUGUGGUUGUAUGUUCUUCACCAAUAGCAGAAUCCUCAAGUGGGCAAACCCAUGUUGCUGUGGAAGUUGGUACUGAGGAGGGUCUGAACCAUAAAGAUGAAGUUCCUGCUGACGUCGUGGAGGUAAAUUUACAUUAUUCAGAAGUAGAUCAAAGUUCAGAAGUUAGGGCGAUUAGCAAGGGGAGGAACAAAGAUGAUUCCGUUCAUACAAAUGCUGAAUCUUCGAAUCAACAAGCCAAAGUAGCUGUUGUAGGGGAAGUAGGGGUGAUGAACAAAGAAGAGAUUUUGCAUUCAAAAGUUGAAGUUACCGGAAUUUGUUCAGUAGAGGAUCGGCAGAUGAUGGUUGAGACUGCUGGUAAGAAUACAGAAAGUCACUGUGAUUUGAGUGCAGACCCAAUAUCCUCCCCCGAGCAUACUAAACCUGUUUCUCACAGUGAAGUUGCAACAGUUGAUGGCAAGUGCUCUUUGGAUUCCAAUGUUGAAGCUCCCAAAGUUGUUGGUUCCAGUGGGACUGGUGGGAAUAUCGGAGAAAUUAAUAUUCUCUAUGCAGACUCAGGAUCCUCCAUCAAACAAGCCCAAGUUGCAGCUAGUUCUUCUGCAUCCCUUGACAGUAAGGUUUCAAUUUACAAUGUUGAAACACAUGUUACUGGCGGAGGAGAAGUUUUGACUACAGAAAACAAGGUGACUGGUGCUUCUGUUGAGAACUUAAGUUAUGCAGAAGAUCAAGAGUUGAGGGUCAAGACUGUGUGUGGGGACUCCAGAAGUAAUAUUGCUGUAUGUGUUGAAUCAGAAAUUUCUAGUGAAGGAAUCCAAGUUGUCAACGGCAAUGAAGUUGCAGCAAUGCAUGGCAAGGUCUCAGAUCCUAAGGUGGAUAUUCUAAAAACUAAUGAUAUGGAUGGGACAGACCGUACAGAAGAUGAUCAGAAGAUGAAGUAUGAGUCAACAUGUGAAAGUGCUGGAAAAGACGGUGUUGCACUUGCAGAUCCGGAAUCUUCUCAUGAACAAAAUUAUGCUGCUGAAAGAAGGGAAUCUGCAGCAAUGGACCUGGAAUCCUCUGGUGAACUGAACCAAAUUGCUGUUAGAGGUGACAUUGAAACGAUAGAAGACAAAGAGGUUCUGAAGCUUGAUGAUGAGGCACUUUGCAGUGUGUCUAAGAUUGAUUCUAGUAUUGGGAAUUCAUGUUUCUCAGAAGCUGAUCAAGAUCCGGCAACAUCUGUAGAACACAUUCCAUUUGUUAAAGGAGAGAAUGCUUCAGUGAUGGAAGGUGAGAAAGUUUCAAACUCCAAAGUUGAAGUUUUGAAUGAUGAUACAGGUUAUUUUCAGAAAGAUGAAAAGUUGAACAAAUUGACAGUUGGUGGAAGCACAGAAAGGGACAGUGUUGCACAGGCAAUUUCAGAGUCAUCUGACAGGGCUGAAAUUGACAUGCAAUUGGAUUCUUCAGUGAUUGAUUGUCAGGUAACUGUUCAAGUUUCAUCAUGCCAUGCAUCGGAUGGAAGUACUCCCAUUUUAGGCAAAGUGGAAGAGUUGAAGGUUGAGAGAAUGCAUGGAAGCAGAGAAGAAGAUAUUGUUGCAGGUAAAGAUACUUCUGUAGGUGUUGACUCUCCUCCAGUUGGCAAUCGUAGUGCUUCUAUUCCGGGAACAAAUUCAGAUAGUUUUGAGGUGAAUACAUCCAUGCAAGAUGAGAAACAAGAGACAGUUGCCCAACUAACUGCAACUGCAACUCAUACUCAGAAGGUAGAUGGGGAUCAAAGCAUUAAUCCAUUGAAUGCUGGUGAGAUUUCAGACCAAGGGGCUACUGAUGUGGCACUUUCAGACACAGUUGUUGAAAAUACUGCUGGAUCUCAAGCUGCACUCAGCAGUGCUUCUUUCCAUAAUGGGGAUUACCAUGUUUCUUCUUGUGAUAGUGACUUUAUCACUCCUAUACAAGAUGGAAAUCAUAAUUUAGCAGUUCAUUUUGCAAGCAAUGACAUAUCUUUAUCACAUGGUGAUCAAAUCAUGGAAACUUGUGUUCCUCAUGUGGUAACUUCUAAUGAUGCGGUGAAUCAGGCCAUUGAAGUGAAAGAUGGAUCCUGUGAGGCAGAUAAAUACCAGAUAUUGUGUGCUCAUGCUCCUGAAGCAGAGGAGUCAAAAUUGAAUGAUGAGGCUAUUGCGGGUAGCCUGGUUGUAGAUUUGGAUACCUGUCUCAACAAAGACAUAGUGUGGAAGUCACAAGAUGGCACUGCCGAGGAAAAUAAUUAUUUGCCAGAUGAGUCCUACUGCAUGGGGGAUGAUGCUCCAGGAAUUGAAGGAAAUGUAGAAUUGCAUGUUUCAAAGUCCGUAGAUGGGAGUGUGACAGGUGAUAUUUACCCCAUUGGUUCAAAUGUAGAGCAAGGAGUAGAAGUUGAAGAACUAUAUACUGAUGCUGAGCAGGUUGAUUUACUCAUAGGGCAAGAAAUAGAAAUCGGAGAACAGGCUACUAAUACUGAACUGCCAAUAGUCUCUGAUGAGAAAAUUAAACAGGCAGCUCCGGAGCCUGGAAAAUUUGUAAAAUUGCAUCAAGCUGGUUAUUUGCUGCCAUCAGAAAACGAAGGCGAGUAUUCUGUGUCUGAUUUAGUCUGGGGUAAGGUGAGGAGCCAUCCCUGGUGGCCUGGACAGAUUUUUGAUCCUGCUGAUGCAUCAGAGAAGGCAAUGAAAUAUUAUAAAAAAGACUGUUUUUUGGUAUCAUAUUUCGGGGAUCGAACUUUUGCUUGGAAUGAUGCUUCUUUAUUAAAGCCAUUUUGGACACAUUUUUCCCAGAUAGAGAAGCAGAGCAAUUCAGAAGCAUUUCAGAAUGCAGUGAGCUGUGCCUUGGAAGAGGUCUCCAGACGGGUAGAAUUGGGGUUGGCUUGCUCUUGCAUACGAGAAGAUGCUUAUGACAAGAUUGAAUCUCAAAUUGUUGAAAACACUGGGAUCCGGCAAGAAUCAAGUCGAAGAUACGGUGUUGACAAAUCUAUGGGGGUGAGUUCUUUUGAACCUGAUAAACUUGUGGAGUUUGUAAGAGCACUGGCACAGUCCCCAUCUGGUGGUGCUGAUCGGCUGGAGCUUGUGAUUGUGAAGGCUCAGUUGUUGGCCUUCUCUCGUCUAAAGGGAUAUUAUGAACUUCCUGAAAUCCAAUUUUGUGGAGGAUUGUUGGAAAAUGAAACAGAUGCUUCAGAGUCGAGCGAAGUGAUUGAGCAUGCUACUCCUGUUGCCAAUGAUCAUGAGCAAGUCAAGGGGAAACCAAAAAUUGAAAGCAGCUCUUCCCAUAAAAGAAAACACAAUUUGAAGGACAGUGUGUAUCCCAACAAGAAAGAGAGAGCCUUGUCGGAAUUAAUGGUCGAUAUAGCGUAUUCACCAGAUAGUGAAGAUGGGUCAGAUGGGAAAGGUACAGGUCAGUCAGUUUCACAAUCUUCUGGCAAAAAACGAAAGGCCGUUGACUCCAUCACCGAUGGUUCAGCGAUGCAAGAUAAGAGAGUCAGUUUUUAUGCUGCCAAAGUGUCUCAUACUACAUCUCCAAUUCCUAAGCCAUCGUUUAAGAUUGGUGAGUGUAUUAGUAGAGUUGCAAGUCAACUGACUGGAUCCCCAUCAAUUCUGAAGUGUAGCAGCAGUGACAGACAAGUUGGUUUUGAUGGUUCUUUACAUGAGAACUCCCAAAAAGGAAGGAUAAUUGUUCCAACUGAACACUCAUCUCUAGAUGAAAUCCUAUCGCAACUUCACUUGGCAGCGCGGGAUCCCAUGAAAGGGUACAGCUUCUUAAAUACCAUCACUUAUUUCUUCUCUGGUUUUAGAAAUUCAAUUGUUUUGGGUCAGUAUUCAGGAAAGCAGAAUUCAUCCAUGGGAAAAAUGGGUGGUGGUAGAAAGAAAAAGGCAUCUCAUGCCAUUAUUGGGUCUCCUGAAGAAUUUGAGUUUGACGAUGUGAAUGACUCUUAUUGGACAGACAUGAUUGUCCAAAACAAUCCUGAAGAGGAACCAUCAGGCAUUAGUCAGAACCAGGGAGAGUAUCAGCUAGUGGCUUUUGAGCCAGAUAAAUCCCUUAAACGGAAUCGUAGAUCAUACUCUAGGAAGCGCUAUGCUAAUGGGCACCAUGAAAUGACAGAAGAGGAACCAAUCGGGUAUAUUGAUGAGAGGAAGCAAGAUUUGUCUCCAACUGAACUUCUAUUGAAUUUUACUGAGGGUGAUCCAGUUCCUUCAGAAAUGAAUCUGAAUAAAAUGUUUAGGCGCUUUGGACCUUUGAGGGAAUCUGAAACUGAAGUUGAUAAUAUGACCAGCCGUGCCAGGGUGGUCUUCAAGAGGUGUUCUGAUGCAGAAGUUGCUUUCAAUAGUGCAGGAAAGUUCAACAUUUUUGGGCCAAUGAUUGUUAAUUACCAGCUCAACUAUUCACCUUCACAGCUCAACUAUUCACCUUCAAUCUUAUUUAAAACUGUGACUCUUGCAACAACAGAAGACCAGGAUGACGCAAUGUGAUGUUUUUGCUCUAGAAAUUUAUGUGAUUGGGAAAUUUCAGUUUGGACAAUGGCUGAGAAGUGAUCGGGUGUAAUGCUGAAUGAUGAAGCUAUGACAACAUGGUCAUCCCAAUGGGCUGCUGCUGAAGAAGGUAACCAGACUCUAAUUCAUCUGGUUAUCAAAAUGUUCUCAAUUCCUUGUGUUCAAUGCUCUUCUUGUUUUGUACUUAACAAAGAUGUGUGUUGUCACACUACCUUGGCAUUAAGAUCUCUUAUGCUUCACUUAGUGUGAUGUUAUCACUAUCAAUUAGCCAGCAGCCAUAACUUUUAUCCACGACGACUUUGAGGUACUGAUUAAAAAUGGAAUUAUGGAACUUCUGGUCACUCAUACUCUAUGGCUGUACAUGUGAAAUGAAGGAUAUUACUCUGUGAUGGAACCACUUUGGAGAUCAGGCCUUUGUCCAGCCAAGAAUUCGAAGCACUGACCAUAUUAAAUGUUGAACUGGAAGUUUAUCAGAGCAUGAUGGUGACAUUUGAUUAAUGCUCCUUGUUCAUUCCAAGUUUUGUCAUGUGAUAUGCAUUCUCUCCCUUCAGGUCACAAAUACAAGCAUGAUGAUGAUAUUGUCAUUUUACCAUUAAUUCAUGAGAGUCCCAACUCCUUUGCAGAUGGAGGGGAUCAGUGGUCGCAUCUGGUCAUGUGAUACAGAAUUAUAUGCAUUUGCAGAGAAAUUGUUCGUUCUCAACAUUUGGUAGACUUUAAGAUCAUCUGAUUGUGAAAUAUAUGAACUCGUGUCAAGUUAACCUGCGUUACCCGGUGAGGCUCUAGCAUUUAGAAAGGGAAAACUGAUUUUUUCCAGAAUAUGUUGCUACAGUGAGUGGCUACUUCCGACUCCGAGUGGUAGGAUGUUUGUUAUCUUUUUCAGAACUAUUAUGUUGAAGGGUUGCAUUCACUCGUUAAUUUUUUUGUAAAUAUAUUGUUGUGAAUCAUAUUGCAAUAAUGUUUACUAAUGUACACGUAUUCCUAAAGGAAA
Cornus florida is the source of this 6426-nucleotide RNA transcript. RefSeq lists it as uncharacterized. The transcript has 4 exons. NCBI's taxonomy places the organism in Eukaryota, Viridiplantae, Streptophyta, Magnoliopsida, Cornales, Cornaceae. The record is from RefSeq and is a predicted model, not a curated record.